RNAcentral lists this ribosomal RNA (971 nucleotides) under uncultured bacterium. RNAcentral's name for it is "bacterial SSU rRNA". It matches the Rfam family "Bacterial small subunit ribosomal RNA", at positions 46 to 1017 of the family's 1533-position model. The record is from RNAcentral.
GCUAUCAUGCAAGUCGUACGGUAACAUGAGUAGCAAUACUUGAUGACGAGUGGCGCACGGGUGCGUAACACGUAUGCAAUCUACCCUUAACUGGAGGAUAGCUCGGAGAAAUCCGGAUUAAUACUCCAUAAUAUUAAGAAAAGGCAUCUUUUUUUAAUUAAAGCUCCGGCGGUUAAGGAUGAGCAUGCGUUGCAUUAGCUAGUUGGAGAGGUAACGGCUCACCAAGGCUACGAUGCAUAGGGGGUCUGAGAGGAUGAUCCCCCACACUGGUACUGAGACACGGACCAGACUCCUACGGGAGGCAGCAGUAAGGAAUAUUGGACAAUGGUGGCAACACUGAUCCAGCCAUGCCGCGUGAAGGAUGAAGGCCCUACGGGUUGUAAACUUCUUUUGAACGAGAGAAAACCCGAGUACGUGUACUCGGUUGAUAGUAUCGUUAGAAUAAGGGUCGGCUAACUUCGUGCCAGCAGCCGCGGUAAUACGAAGGACCCGAGCGUUAUCCGGAUUCAUUGGGUUUAAAGGGUGCGUAGGUGGAAAGGUAAGUCAGUGGUGAAAUCUUGCAGCUUAACUGUAAAACUGCCGUUGAUACUGCUUUUCUUGAGUGUAGUUGAUGUGGGCGGAAUAUGUCAUGUAGUGGUGAAAUACUUAGAUAUGACAUAGAACACCGAUUGCGAAGGCAGCUCACAAAGCUAUAACUGACACUGAUGCACGAAAGCGUGGGGAUCAAACAGGAUUAGAUACCCUGGUAGUCCACGCCCUAAACUAUGAUCACUCGCUGUUGGCGAUACACUGUCAGCGGCUAAGCGAAAGCGUUAAGUGAUCCACCUGGGGAGUACGACCGCAAGGUUGAAACUCAAAGGAAUUGACGGGGGCCCGCACAAGCGGAGGAGCAUGUGGUUUAAUUCGAUGAUACGCGAGGAACCNUUACCAGGGCUUGAAAGUUAGUGACUGCUGCCGAAGGGUAGCUUUUC